Long non-coding RNA from Esox lucius (northern pike), 544 nucleotides. The record is from Ensembl. Lineage: Eukaryota; Metazoa; Chordata; Actinopteri; Esociformes; Esocidae.
GUUGUCAUGGUGAGAGGUCAGAACAGUGGUCAGUAGGUUUAGUUGUCAUGGUGAGAGGUCAGAACAGUGGUCAGUAGGUUUAGUUGUCAUGGUGAGAGGUCAGAGCAGCGGUCAGUAGGCUUAGUUGUCAGUAGGUGAGAGGUCAGAGCAGCGGUCAGUAGGCUUAGUUGUCAGUAGGUGAGAGGUCAGAGCAGCGGUCAGUAGGCUUAGUUGUCAGUAGGUGAGAGGUCAGAGCAGUGGUCAGUAGGCUUAGUUGUCAGUGGGUGAGAGGUCAGAGCAUUGGUCAGGAGGUUUAGUUGUCAGUAGGUGAGAGGUCAGAGCAGUGGUCAGUAGGGAUAGUUGUCAGUAGGUGAGAGGUCAGAGCAGUGGUCAGUAGGGAUAGUUGUCAGUAGGUGAGAGGUCAGAGCAGUGGUCAGUAGGGCUAGUUGUCAGUAGGUGAAAUAUCCUGAAGAACAGGACGAUCAUAUGCAUGCAAUUAUCUGGCCCGGCCUGUGUCGUCUGGCUUGAAGAAUGGAGGGAGUCUUGCAUUGGGAUCCAUCCCGGC